UAAGUAUGGCUUUGGAGAAAGCACUUGAUAUCAUAGUACCAUGGCUUAUCAUCUUUCACCUCCUCAACUGCAAACACGUGAGCUGGUCUAUCCAAGCGCAUCACAGUAAUAUUUGGGACUUCAUUCCAAUAAUUGACAAUAAUCAUUGAAGCAAGCGUAGCGAGAGAAUCCGCCAUCCGAUUCUCGUCUCGAGGAAUAUGAUGGAAGUCCACUUUAGUAAAUAAAGUUGAA
Molecule: long non-coding RNA, 231 nt
Filed under: Lathyrus oleraceus (garden pea)
Lineage: Eukaryota; Viridiplantae; Streptophyta; Magnoliopsida; Fabales; Fabaceae
Description: Pisum sativum (pea) long non-coding RNA (PSAT_LNC034742)
Source: RNAcentral